CAAAAGCACUAUCUUACUUUGCCGCUAGAGGAGCAAUGUUUUCAAAUCAUAGUUCAUUUGUCACAUGCGCGGAAUACAACAAUUGAAGCAGACCUUAGUGAAAUGCAUACUUACAAUAGGCUCUAACCAAUAGUGCAAAAAAGGUAUUAGGUGAACAAUAGACAGGUUGGACUCUUUCUCAACUCCCACAAAAAAUGUAAUAACAUACAACAACAGUCACACAAUAAGAGGGCUACAGCUAGGAAGAAGAUGAUGAAGACAGGUGUGGGAGAGGUGCUGCCCUUCAUCAAGUGUAUUGUGUACAGGAAAAUCAGGUGACCCGGUACGACCAACAGGAGCAGCACCUGUGCAGAGCGAUGAUUGGCUCCUGUCAGAGAUAAACCCUACUACAUACAACGCCAACCAAGUCUCCAUUCAAGACAAGCAUCUCAUGUCUACAACUGUCAAUCAUUCUCUGCCAUGUAUCAUCUCCAUUACCGGAAUCUAGAAAGACUUUUAAACUGAACUGCAUCUCUGCCUCCAGCUGCUCAGUAGAUGGGCAUCACCGUAACCCUCACCUAAACCUCAGUGUUUCCCUUGGGGACCCUUAUUAUUGGAGGACAUAUAGGAAAUGUAUAAAAGCACCCCUUGGUCAUGUUCAGGUGAGAGCUUUUUACUGUGAAUGUCCUUUCUGUGUACAGGUUGUAUGGUGUUGCUGGUGGAUUAUUUCUGCGAGGAACCAUUUUGUGACUAUGUUGUCUUGAAGAAAUGUUUGGGGUGUAGUCGAUUGUUCUGAAUGGUAUAUGUUGACUUUGACCAUCAGUGAGUUAUUCCCUGAGUGACAAUAUGUCUGAUUUUCAUUAUGUAAGGCCACUGCAAUCAUGGCCUUCUAUUUGAAAUCACUUUGUUUGGAGCGGCGUUGCUGGUUUGAGGUACAGGCUGUGCGUUGCUGGUUUGAGGUACAGGCUGUGCCCUCCAAAAAAGGCUCUGUCUAAGUAAAGUCAUUUCUAUUUCUACAAUAUCUAUUGUUUAUGUCAAUUCUGUGGUUAACUGUUCUUUCUUGUGGAAGUAACAGAUCUAUGAAGUCAUUUUGGUGUACUCUUGUUAAUGUGUGUUAUUUAUCUGUGUCAAACAAGCAACCCUAAUCCUCAGCUUUACUAAACUUUGCUUGUUCUUUAUCUGCCUUUGUAGUGUUUUCCUUUAAUGGGUCUAGAACCUGUGUCUAUUGUUUUUAGAUGUUACAAUUUCUCAAAACUUUUGCCCCAACUCAAUAGGUGGCCUGUCAUGAACCUGUGUGUCUUAUGUUCUGGUUUAGUUGUUCCCCUAAUUAAACAGUAACUGGGGUAGUCUUGAAGUUGUGCCAGUUUAGCUAACCCUAGUCGGCAGGUGUUACCACAAUAUGCUACUGUCAUGUCUGCAAAAACACUACAGUGAAUGCUAUUGUAUACAACACUCAUGUUUGCAAAAAAACACAACAGUGAAUACUAUAGUAUAUAAAUAUAAUACUACUGUAUUUAGACCAUAGUAUACUAUAUUAUUUUGUAAUGUGGGUUAGCUGUAAAUGUGUAAUAUGUUGGAUGUUUGAACUAGGACCCCUUUUUUUGUAUUAUUCUCAUUAAAAAGAAAUC
This is a long non-coding RNA of Oncorhynchus masou masou (cherry salmon), 1607 nucleotides long. RefSeq lists it as uncharacterized. Lineage: Eukaryota; Metazoa; Chordata; Actinopteri; Salmoniformes; Salmonidae. The transcript is spliced from 4 exons. The record is from RefSeq and is a predicted model, not a curated record.